GACGAACGCUGGCGGCGUGCUUAACACAUGCAAGUCGAACGGAAAGGCCCUGCUUUUGUGGGGUGCUCGAGUGGCGAACGGGUGAGUAACACGUGAGUAACCUGCCCUUGACUUUGGGAUAACUUCAGGAAACUGGGGCUAAUACCGGAUAGGAGCUCCUGCUGCAUGGUGGGGGUUGGAAAGUUUCGGCGGUUGGGGAUGGACUCGCGGCUUAUCAGCUUGUUGGUGGGGUAGUGGCUUACCAAGGCUUUGACGGGUAGCCGGCCUGAGAGGGUGACCGGCCACAUUGGGACUGAGAGACGGCCCAGACGCCUACGGGAGGCAGCAGGGGGGAAUAUUGCACAAUGGGCGGAAGCCUGAUGCAGCAACGCCGCGUGCGGGAUGACGGCCUUCGGGUUGUAAACCGCUUUCGCCUGUGACGAAGCGGGAGUGACGGUAAUGGGUAAAGAAGCACCGGCUAACUACGUG
Molecule: ribosomal RNA, 468 nt
Filed under: uncultured bacterium
Lineage: Bacteria
Description: partial 16S ribosomal RNA
Rfam family: Bacterial small subunit ribosomal RNA
Source: RNAcentral